Molecule: ribosomal RNA, 321 nt
Filed under: Triticum aestivum (bread wheat)
Lineage: Eukaryota; Viridiplantae; Streptophyta; Magnoliopsida; Poales; Poaceae
Description: partial small subunit ribosomal RNA
Source: RNAcentral
AUGUGGCCCAGACAAAGGGUUCUACGCUUUCCAAUUCAUCUCACAUGCACAAGUGGCUGCAGUGCCAUCAAAUUCGUCACAUGGGGUGAUUGGCGGUGCAACAACGCCUCUCUCCGGGCACAGCGGCCAGUGCACUCCAAACAAGAUGCUCUUGUCUUGGAAGCCAUGGAGAAGGAUGGUGUCGUUCUGGCACUCACAAACGCAUGCAAGUUCUUCGUCGUACGCCUCCAGACUGUAGUUCUCGGCCAGGCGGACAGCAGUGGCAAGCUCCCGGGGCUGAGGCAGCAUCGGGACAAAGCGCGGGCGGAGCAGGACCGGUAA